UGUAAAUAUGCUAGCAUUUAGUUUACUGUUGUCAAUACUAUUAAUGUGCUACUACUCAAACACCAUUAAUUUGACAUUACAGAAGUUCAGUAUGGUAAUUGCACUCAUGUACUACUGAAAGUGAAACACCAUUAAAGGUACACAUUGCCCUAGCUGGUUCUGCCUAGAUGUUCAUUGUCAAUCAACAUUUGUACAUGUGUGACAUGCAUCUGACAUGAUUCAGCUUAGCUACCGUACACAGAUUUCCCGAUCCAAAAGAGAGACGAAAAAUCGAUAGAGCACGACUGACCGAACUUGCUGCUCCCGGCUAAUCAACUAACUUCCGGUGGUUCUCUCCAUGCUGUUGGCCCUGGC
Molecule: long non-coding RNA, 354 nt
Filed under: Hordeum vulgare
Lineage: Eukaryota; Viridiplantae; Streptophyta; Magnoliopsida; Poales; Poaceae
Description: long non-coding RNA (HVUL_LNC005884)
Source: RNAcentral